ACGUCACGGGGGUUACGACCCUUCGACUUAUCAGUGAGUGGGCAGUUAUUUUCUGGUAUUACCUAUAUACUACUGAAUUUCCCAAAAAUUGAAUUUAAAUAAAAGUAUGUUUUUAAAAUGCCAUGCAUGCAUAUUAUGAAUUAUAUGAAUUAGUAAUUGAUGCAUAUAUAUGUGAAAUGGUGCUGUGGACGCACAGGUGAGUAUCGGGUGAGUUUAGAUUGUUCAUAUGAUUUAUUGUAAUGUGAAUUGUGUUGAGAACUCAUAACUUGCACCCCUGGUGUUAGUGCUUAUAAUAUUCACCGCACCACACGCUCACCUUGGAUCCAAGUAGGUGCAUGUCGUACAGACCAUGAAAGGGUUCCGACAUGCUAGUCGUACAAAUAACUAGAGGUGGUUUUGACCAGUAGGUGACCUUAGAUUAUGUGCACAGAUGAUUGAUGAGUGAAGCACUAGAGCGUAUUGUUACACCAUUCUUGUCGUACAGACUACUUCAGGUAGUUCCGACUUAUGUGCAGAGUAGUGCCGUACAGGUCACCGUGGUGACUCCGGUUGGUUUGGAUAUUGAGCUAUGGAAUUAACCGUACAGGACCAACUGCAGGGUCACCGGUUGAUUCAUUAUGUCACAUGUUAUAUUGAUGCAUUCUUAAUCUGUUAUUGACAUUUAUGGCAUGACAUAUUUUCUGGGUUUUGAUAAAGAUUGGUGAUUUGAAAUAUUUGAAGAAGUAUAUGCAUAUUAUGUUAUUUUAUGGGAAAGUAUACAGGUUUUAUAGUGAGGGGUUAGAAAUGUUUUAAAUGAAAUGUUUUUGAAACACUUUGGUUUUACUGACCCACUCAAUUUUGUUUUGCCCCCCUCCAGGUUCUAGUUAGCAGUGUUGGUGGCUCACGAGGAUUCCCACGGCAUUCUGACAGACUACUCAUGUAGGACUCACCUUCGGGUGUUGUAAU
RNAcentral lists this long non-coding RNA (945 nucleotides) under Malus domestica (apple). Its description in RNAcentral is "long non-coding RNA (MDOM_LNC010594)". Lineage: Eukaryota; Viridiplantae; Streptophyta; Magnoliopsida; Rosales; Rosaceae. The record is from RNAcentral.